RNAcentral lists this transfer RNA (73 nucleotides) under Plasmodium vinckei vinckei. It matches the Rfam family "tRNA". From Rfam's summary of the family: Transfer RNA (tRNA) molecules are approximately 80 nucleotides in length. Lineage: Eukaryota; Apicomplexa; Aconoidasida; Haemosporida; Plasmodiidae. The record is from RNAcentral.
AAUGAUAUAACUUAAUUUGGUAAAGUGAAUAAUUGCAAAUUAUUUUAUUUCAGUUCAAAUCUGAAUAUCAUUU